This 350-nucleotide ribosomal RNA is filed under the name uncultured bacterium. Its description in RNAcentral is "bacterial SSU rRNA". It matches the Rfam family "Bacterial small subunit ribosomal RNA", at positions 355 to 697 of the family's 1533-position model. The record is from RNAcentral.
UGGGGAAUAUUGCGCAAUGGGGGCAACCCUGACGCAGCCAUGCCGCGUGUGUGAAGAAGGCCUUAGGGUUGUAAAGCACUUUCAAUUGGGAGGAAAGGUUGUACGUUAAUAGCGUGCAGCUGUGACGUUACCUUUAGAAGAAGCACCGGCUAACUCCGUGCCAGCAGCCGCGGUAAUACGGAGGGUGCGAGCGUUAAUCGGAAUUACUGGGCGUAAAGCGCGCGUAGGCGGUUUGUUAAGUCGGAUGUGAAAGCCCCGGGCUCAACCUGGGAACUGCAUUCGAUACUGGCCGACUAGAGUACGAGAGAGGGAGGUAGAAUUCCACGUGUAGCGGUGAAAUGCGUAGAUAU